GUGCCAGCCGCCGCGGUAAUACGUAGGUGGCAAGCGUUAUCCGGAAUUAUUGGGCGUAAAGCGCGCGUAGGCGGUUUUUUAAGUCUGAUGUGAAAGCCCACGGCUCAACCGUGGAGGGUCAUUGGAAACUGGAAAACUUGAGUGCAGAAGAGGAAAGUGGAAUUCCAUGUGUAGCGGUGAAAUGCGCAGAGAUAUGGAGGAACACCAGUGGCGAAGGCGACUUUCUGGUCUGUAACUGACGCUGAUGUGCGAAAGCGUGGGGAUCAAACAG
Molecule: ribosomal RNA, 271 nt
Filed under: uncultured Staphylococcus sp.
Lineage: Bacteria; Bacillati; Bacillota; Bacilli; Caryophanales; Staphylococcaceae
Description: partial 16S ribosomal RNA
Rfam family: Bacterial small subunit ribosomal RNA
Source: RNAcentral